Molecule: ribosomal RNA, 397 nt
Filed under: uncultured bacterium
Lineage: Bacteria
Description: bacterial SSU rRNA
Rfam family: Bacterial small subunit ribosomal RNA
Source: RNAcentral
GACGAACGCUGGCGGCGUGCUUAACACAUGCAAGUCGAGCGGUAAGGCCCUUUCGGGGGUACACGAGCGGCGAACGGGUGAGUAACACGUGGGUGACCUGCCCUUAGCUCUGGGAUAAGCCUGGGAAACUGGGUCUAAUACCGGAUAUGACUCCAUGACGCAUGUUGUGGGGUGGAAAGCCUUGUGCGGCUAGGGAUGGGCCCGCGGCCUAUCAGCUUGUUGGUGGGGUGAUGGCCCACCAAGGCGACGACGGGUAGCCGGCCUGAGAGGGCGACCGGCCACACUGGGACUGAGACACGGCCCAGACUCCUACGGGAGGCAGCAGUGGGGAAUCUUGCGCAAUGGGCGAAAGCCUGACGCAGCGACGCCGCGUGAGGGAUGACGGCCUCGGUUGUAA